GACGAACGCUGGCGGCGUGCUUAACACAUGCAAGUCGAACGGAAAGGCCCUGCUUUUGUGGGGUGCUCGAGUGGCGAACGGGUGAGUAACACGUGAGUAACCUGCCCUUGACUUUGGGAUAACUUCAGGAAACUGGGGCUCAUACCGGAUAGGAGCUCCUGCUGCAUGGGGGGGGUUGGAAAGUUUCGGCGGUUGUGGAUAGACUCGCGGCUUAUCAGCUUGUUUGUGGGGUAGUGGCUUACCAAGGGUUUGACGGGUAGCCGGCCUGGGAGGGUGACCGGGCACAAUGGGACUGCGAGACGGCCCAGAAUCCUACGGGAGGCAGCAGGCGGGAGUAUUGCGCAGUGACGGGACGCCUGAUGCAGCAGCGCCCGGUGCGGGAUGACGUGCUUUGGGUGAUAAACCGCUGUGGCAUGUGACAAAGCGUGAGUGACGGUAAUGGGUAAAGAAGCAACGGCUAACUACGUG
RNAcentral lists this ribosomal RNA (468 nucleotides) under uncultured bacterium. RNAcentral's name for it is "partial 16S ribosomal RNA". It matches the Rfam family "Bacterial small subunit ribosomal RNA", at positions 28 to 507 of the family's 1533-position model. The record is from RNAcentral.